AACGCGAAGAACCUUACCUACCCUUGACAUGUCUGGAAUCCUGAAGAGAUUUGGGAGUGCUCGAAAGAGAGCCAGAACACAGGUGCUGCAUGGCCGUCGUCAGCUCGUGUCGUGAGAUGUUGGGUUAAGUCCCGCAACGAGCGCAACCCUUGUCAUUAGUUGCCAUCAUUAUGUUGGGCACUCUAACGAGACUGCCGGUGACAAGCCGGAGGAAGGUGGGGAUGACGUCAAGUCCUCAUGGCCCUUAUGACCAGGGCUUCACACGUCAUACAAUGGUCGGUACAGAGGGUAGCCAAGCCGCGAGGUGGAGCCAAUCUCACAAAACCGAUCGUAGUCCGGAUUGCACUCUGCAACUCGAGUGCAUGAAGUCGGAAUCGCUAGUAAUCGCAGGUCAGCAUACUGCGGUGAAUACGUUCCCGGGUCUUGUACACACGCA
Molecule: ribosomal RNA, 436 nt
Filed under: uncultured beta proteobacterium
Lineage: Bacteria; Pseudomonadati; Pseudomonadota; Betaproteobacteria
Description: bacterial SSU rRNA
Rfam family: Bacterial small subunit ribosomal RNA
Source: RNAcentral